UGACGAAUGAGUCUGGAACAGAUGUGUGAACUGCAUGGUCUGCCAUCUCUGGUCAUUUCCCAAGAGGGUUGGAUACUGAGGAUCUCUGGGGCUCCUUCCCCUCUGAUACCCUGUGAGCCAGACCCUGACAACCAGGACCUUGGAGAACGGAGGGAACAAUCCUGCUUCCCAGGCUCCAGGAAUUUGCUCCUUUCCUCUACCCCAUCCUGCUCCCUUGGGGCCUUGAUCACUUUUCCUACCCUGACCUGCAGAUAGCCUUGUGGCUAAUGACUUUGUGUGCUAAUCCUCCCCCAGGUGUGUCCCAGAGGGCACCUGGAGAGCGGUAGUGGGGUCUCAGUGGUAGGGGGAGCACUUUCCUACAUCACAAUGCCCAGGUGCUUUUGAGCACUUAAUCUGCCAGCUUGUCAGGCAGGUCUGUGGUCUCAGGUGCUGACUGACUGGCCAAAGAGUUAUGGGGAGGGGCAGCUAAACCCCUGUGGCCACAGUCAACCCCUUCAGAGCACAGGGGCUCUUCUUGGGACCUCUGAAGCCUGGACAAGAGGAGAGAAGCAGAGAAACCUGGGGGCACCAUUAUGAUGCGCCACGCAGUGGAGUUGCGUGGGUGGGAGAAGCACACGGCUCUGGGUCUUCAGAACUGGCCCCCAAGAUGAUGAAACAGGCGUGGAGAGGAUGAGUAACUUUCCCAAGGGCUGGUGGCUCUUCCUAACCCUCUAUCAUCAAAUGUCCUGCGUGAUUUGGGGCAUGUGGCAGAGAUUGCUGACAGAUCACCAAACCCAUUGCAUCUCCUUUCUGGGCACACAGCGAGGCUUCAUUUUCUAGCAUCACUUGCAGUUUAGUUGUGUCCUUGGGAAUGAAUUCUGGCCAAUGGCACGUGAGGUGGUAUGCGCCACUUCCAGGCCUCACCAUAAAGAUGUCCCAGAAGCCUCCGUGUCAGCAAAUUUUGAUUCACGUUGCAGAGAUUAGAUUUGAAGCUCAGAAAGACCUUGCUUGAUUGGACAAAGAGGCGCAGUGCACUGCCGGCAGAGGCCUUCCUCUGUGCUGUCUCUAGCAACUUUCUGUUGCCCCGCCCUGGGCUGAGAACAGGCGGAAGUCUCCAUGGACUGUGUCUGUGGGUCUGGGGUCCUUCUGCUUCUACUGCUCUCUGCUCCCUCCUGGGAGGUGUCUUCAGCGAGGCACGUGCUCCAGCUGAAGCCAUCUCAGUCUAAACCGAGUUAGAAGGAGUGUCAUACUAGCUGAAGAGGCUGAGUCAAGUGUUCAUCAAGCCGUAAAUGAACAGCUGCCUCCCUCUUUGAGCCCGAUGCCUGGAUUAUUCAUUCCUUUUGGCUUUCAGAUCCUUCUUUUGGAUCCAGACAGAAACUGCUCCUUCCACGGCC
RNAcentral lists this long non-coding RNA (1373 nucleotides) under Equus caballus (horse). Its description in RNAcentral is "lncRNA (ENSECAG00000045223.1)". Lineage: Eukaryota; Metazoa; Chordata; Mammalia; Perissodactyla; Equidae. The record is from RNAcentral.